Molecule: ribosomal RNA, 506 nt
Filed under: uncultured bacterium
Lineage: Bacteria
Description: partial 16S ribosomal RNA
Rfam family: Bacterial small subunit ribosomal RNA
Source: RNAcentral
GAUGAACGCUAGCGGCAGGCCUAACACAUGCAAGUCGAGGGGCAGCACAUAAAGUGGUUUACUACUUUUGGUGGCGACCGGCGGACGGGUGCGUAACGCGUAUGCAACCUGCCUCCAACAGGGGGAUAACGGAGAGAAAUUUCCACUAAUACCCCAUAAUAUCAGAAUCGGCAUCGGUUUUGGUUGAAAACUCCGGUGGUUGGAGAUGGGCAUGCGUUGUAUUAGAUAGUUAGUGAGGCAACGGCUCACCAAGUCAACGAUACAUAGGGGGACUGAGAGGUUAGCCCCCCACACUGGUACUGGGACACGGACCAGACCCCUACGGGAGGCAGCAGUGAGGAAUAUUGGUCAAUGGGGGCAACCCUGAACCAGCCAUGCCGCGUGCAGGAAGACGGCUCUAUGAGUUGUAAACUGCUUUUACAAGGGGAUAAAUCGGUGUACGUGUACACCGUUGAAGGUACCUUGGGAAUAAGGAUCGGCUAACUCCGUGCCAGCCGCCGCGGUAA